This 66-nucleotide transfer RNA is filed under the name Pogona vitticeps (central bearded dragon). RNAcentral's name for it is "tRNA-Pro". The record is from RNAcentral. Lineage: Eukaryota; Metazoa; Chordata; Lepidosauria; Squamata; Agamidae.
CAAAAGAUAGUUUAGUUAAAAUGUUGGCUUUGGGGGCCAGGGNUCGGGCUUAUAGUCCUCUUUUGA